CACUUUCGAUGGUAGGAUAGAUCAACUUUGGAUGGUGACGGGUGAUGGAGAAUCAACUUUCGAUUCCGGAGAGGGAGCCUGAUAGACGGCUCAACUUUCAAGGAUGGUAGGAUACGAGCAACUUACCCAAUCCUGACAUGGUAGGAUAGUGACAUCAACUUUCGAUGGUAGGAUAAUCAACUUUCGUAAUUGGUAGGAGUACAAUCUACUUCCCUUAACGAGGAUCCAUUGGAGGGCAAUUUUGGUGCCAGCAGCCGCGGUAAUUCCAGCUCCAAUAGCGUAUAUUUAAGUUGUUGCAGUUAAAAAGCUCGUAGUUGAACUUCGGAAUUUAUUCAUUGGUCAGACUUAACUGUCUGUACUGGUGUUAUGAAUUUCUACCUUCUGAGGAAUUAUCAUGCCAUUUAGUUGGUGUGGUAGGGAAUCAGGACUGUUACUUUGAAAAAAUUAGAGUGUUUAAAGCAGGCAAGCGCUUGAAUACAUUAGCAUGGAAUAAUGAAAUAGGACGUUUGAUCUUAUUUUGUUGGUUUCUAAGAUUGACGUAAUGAUUAAUAGGGAUAGUUGGGGGCAUUAGUAUUCAAUUGUCAGAGGUGAAAUUCUUGGAUUUAUUGAAGACUAACUACUGCGAAAGCAUUUGCCAAGGAUGUUUUCAUUAAUCAAGAACGAAAGUUAGGGGAUCGAAGACGAUCAGAUACCGUCGUAGUCUUAACCAUAACACUAUGCCGACUAGAGGAUCGGACGAAGUUAAUUUUUAAAUGACUCGUUCGGCACCUUACGGGAGA
This 779-nucleotide ribosomal RNA is filed under the name fungal sp. RNAcentral describes it as "SSU rRNA". It matches the Rfam family "Eukaryotic small subunit ribosomal RNA", at positions 316 to 1097 of the family's 1831-position model. Lineage: Eukaryota; Fungi. The record is from RNAcentral.